This is a non-coding RNA of Cordylochernes scorpioides, 78 nucleotides long. NCBI's taxonomy places the organism in Eukaryota, Metazoa, Arthropoda, Arachnida, Pseudoscorpiones, Chernetidae. The record is from the annotation of a GenBank genome assembly.
AAUACCAAUCUUGAUGGGAUUCAAACCCACAAUCUUUGGCUAGGGAAGCCAACGCCUUAUUCGUUGGGCCACUGGAGC